This 253-nucleotide ribosomal RNA is filed under the name uncultured prokaryote. RNAcentral describes it as "partial 16S ribosomal RNA". It matches the Rfam family "Bacterial small subunit ribosomal RNA", at positions 524 to 776 of the family's 1533-position model. The record is from RNAcentral.
UACGGGGGGGGCAAGCGUUGUUCGGAAUUACUGGGCGUAAAGGGCGCGUAGGCGGCACGGUAAGUCAAAGGUGAAAUCCCUCGGCUCAACUGAGGAACUGCCUUUGAAACUGCCGAGCUUGAGUCCGGGAGGGGGUAGCGGAAUUCCCAGUGUAGCGGUGAAAUGCGUAGAUAUUGGGAGGAACACCAGUGGCGAAGGCGGCUACCUGGACCGGAACUGACGCUGAUGCGCGAAAGCGUGGGGAGCAAACAGG